RNAcentral lists this ribosomal RNA (449 nucleotides) under uncultured prokaryote. RNAcentral describes it as "bacterial SSU rRNA". It matches the Rfam family "Bacterial small subunit ribosomal RNA", at positions 355 to 796 of the family's 1533-position model. The record is from RNAcentral.
UGGGGAAUUUUUCGCAAUGGGGGAAACCCUGACGAAGCAACGCCGCGUGGAGGAUGAAGGCCCUCGGGUCGUAAACUCCUGUCGAUCGGGAAGAAUGCGUGCGGGUUAAUACCCCGUUGCGUUGACUGUACCGGUGGAGGAAGCCACGGCUAACUCUGUGCCAGCAGCCGCGGUAAGACAGAGGUGGCAAGCGUUGUUCGGAAUUACUGGGCGUAAAGGGCGCGCAGGCGGUUCGUCAAGUCCCGUGUGAAAUCCCCCGGCUCAACUGGGGAACUGCGCGGGAAACUAGCGGGCUUGAGUUCGGGAGAGGAAAGCGGAAUUCCGGGUGUAGCGGUGAAAUGCGCAGAUAUCCGGAGGAACACCAGUGGCGAAGGCGGCUUUCUGGACCGACACUGACGCUGAGGCGCGAAAGCUAGGGGAGCGAACGGGAUUAGAUACCCCCGUAGUCC